GACGAACCGUACAAACGUUAUUCGGAAUCACUGGGCUUAAAGGGUGCGUAGGCGGCGCGGAAAGUAGGGUGUGAAAUCCCUCGGCUCAACCGAGGAAUUGCGCCCUAAACUACCGUGCUCGAGGGAGAUAGAGGUGAGCGGAACUUAGGGUGGAGCGGUGAAAUGCGUUGAUAUCCUAAGGAACACCGGUGGCGAAAGCGGCUCACUGGAUCUCUUCUGACGCUGAGGCACGAAAGCUAGGGUAGCGAACGGG
Molecule: ribosomal RNA, 253 nt
Filed under: uncultured bacterium
Lineage: Bacteria
Description: partial 16S ribosomal RNA
Rfam family: Bacterial small subunit ribosomal RNA
Source: RNAcentral